This is a non-coding RNA of Paramuricea clavata, 83 nucleotides long. The record is from the annotation of a GenBank genome assembly. Lineage: Eukaryota; Metazoa; Cnidaria; Anthozoa; Malacalcyonacea; Plexauridae.
UAACAUGCUCCAUCCUCGUCCCCAGGCCCAAGCUCGGGUGGGGGCCGCCCGAGCUUGGGCCUGGAGACGAGGAUGUAACAUGC